CGAAAGCUUGCUACUUCAUCACAAGCUAUAGGUAAAGCCAAAGGCCUGCUACAACUUAAGCCUAAAUUACAAUUUGACCCACAGCUAAAAUGAUAAUGGGAUAAGCUACAAGCACUCAUAUUCUGGGCCCGUGCAUAAUAAUUCCCCCUCUCCUCAAUCUUACCCCACGAUAAGAUCAUAUUACACUUCAUCAUCUCCUCCUUCACCCAAGAAGCUCCAACCACUCGGAAUGAAUCCUUUUGCUCCCACCCUAAACGAUAGUUAUGUGCUAGCCUCCUAUGAAAUGUCAAAUAGGCCGAAAUACUAAGAGUUUGGGCUGAAGUAC
Molecule: long non-coding RNA, 325 nt
Filed under: Phoenix dactylifera (date palm)
Lineage: Eukaryota; Viridiplantae; Streptophyta; Magnoliopsida; Arecales; Arecaceae
Description: long non-coding RNA (PDAC_LNC015243)
Source: RNAcentral